RNAcentral lists this ribosomal RNA (266 nucleotides) under uncultured archaeon. RNAcentral describes it as "partial 16S ribosomal RNA". It matches the Rfam family "Archaeal small subunit ribosomal RNA", at positions 716 to 982 of the family's 1478-position model. The record is from RNAcentral.
ACAGUCACUGACAUUAGAUACCCGCGUAGUCCAGGGUGUAAACGCUGCAGACUUGGUGUUGGGAACCCUUCGGGGGUGCUCAGUGCCGGAGAGAAGUUGUUAAGUCUGCUACUUGGGAGUACGUCCGCAAGGAUGAAACUUAAAGGAAUUGGCGGGGGAGCACCGCAACGGGAGGAGCGUGCGGUUUAAUUGGAUUCAACGCCGAAAAACUCACCAGCAGCGACUGCUACAUGAAAGUCAGGUUGAUGACCUUACUAGAUUUUCAG